CAUAUUCUUUGAAUCCAUGAACAUGGGCUGUCUUUUCACUUGUGUCCUCUUUUUCUUUCGUCAAUGUUUUACAGUUUUCAGAGCUCCAUUUGUAACUUUUGAAUUAUGCCUUCUGCUUCUAAUACUCAGAAAUGAAUAUGUAGAUAGAUAAAUAAAAUGUAAAGCUAGACCAAGACAGACUGUAUCUGAAUUACAAACGAAACUCUUUUUCCUGACGUACAAAAAUCUAGUUUGGGAGAUUUGGCAUUUACUUUGUAAUUGGAGACGCUGAGGGGUCUUAGAGGGGUCCUGGUCUCCAUCACCAACUCCUGCACCUUUGCACCCCAUUCUGUUCCCUUAUGGUUCCUGUGAAGUCUCAGUUUGUACUGUGGCUGCUGCCCACCCACCCCCAGAGCCCUCCUCUGUCCUUAUAGCCCAUCUUUUGCUUCUCACAAAUUGCCACCCUUGCCUGCCAGCCAGUCUUGAAGCCACUAAGCAAGCAGCACACCCAAAUCAAGGGUUUGGUGCCCCAGGCCUUGGCUUGCCCAGGUGCACAUGAGUGUUCAGUACAGCAUUUCAGCACAACACUGUACUGUGACAGACCUGGCCUUCAUCACAACAGUCCCAUUUCCAGGAUUUUAUCUCAUGGAGACUGUCUGGGGAAACAUAUCCUAUCUUCAGGUCACUUCCAAACUUUGUUGGUCAGGACUGUGGUUUCAGGAUAUGAUGAUCAGGGAUUUUUUUGUUUAAGUGACAAUGGAUAUAAACCUACCCUCACCCACACUACCAUAAGGGAGUUUAUGACAUUUUUUAUGCCUUCGCUUAGACCGAUUUAACUUGAAGGUAGGUUCAAACACAGGAAUUCACCACUGGAAUUGGAAAGAAACACAGCUACCUGGACUGAACCACAGGGAGUUACCAGUUCUCAUUUACCUGGAGACACAGCCCAUUCACUCACAUGAGAUGCAACUGAAUCCUCAUUCUGCCCAGUAGCUCCUUGGACAGCUUGUAACUUUUGAAUUAUGCCUUCUGCUUGGGACUUGCUUGGGAUGAUGGCUAAAUUCAACUCAUUCCCAGCAUGAGGGACAAAAGGCCUGGGAGAUGAAUGUGACAGGAGAAAGGAGAGUGGAGUUUACCUUAAACUCAAAGAGACUCUUUCCAGGACGAAUGGGACUUGGCUUCGUGUAAGAAUUCUGAUUCUGAAAAAUGGUGAAAGGUUGAUCAUCUUAUCAUCAGAUUAAUGAGGUCUGGGAAUUGACACAUAAUGUACUGUUGAUAGGGAUUGUCCAACCCGUGUUUUUAUUUGUAGAUUGCGUAACAGCGCGGGGCAGUGUCUCUUACUGAAAAUAGCACUUCCUAGCCGGUGAUGAGAACGCAUUCUCCUAAACAGUACUAUCCGGCUUGGUUAGCAUGAGCAUGACUCUGUCUCACUGCUCUGGAAUCCCUACUGAAAGCUUUCAGGGCCUAUAAGUGGCCCUUCAGUUGGGUUGGAGAUGGGAGAAGAAAUAACUUGCCGAGGCCGAGUACAGAUUGAUCCUCUGUCCCCAGCAUCUGCUGCUGCUUCUAAGCAUCCUUAAAACCACCAGCCACUUGUUUGUUCAGCUGCCCAGCCCUGAGCAUCCUGCCCUGCCAUCGGGAACCCUUCUGAUAAGCAUUUGUUGAAAGAGGAAGGUUGGAACAUGCCACUCCUGGGGCGUCCACUAGGGCCACCUCCAAUGAUCGCUGAGAAGUUCCAGCAAGUACGUCUUGCAAGUACCCAACACCAGCAAUUAUUUGGCGGAAAACAGCCUUUGCCAUCACUGCAGUUAAGGGUGUGGGGCAAAGAUCGGCUCAUGGGGUGUUGGGGAGAGCAGACCUCACCCUCACCAGUAGGGCAGGAGAGCUCACUGAGGACGACAUGGACCGUGUGUGUACCAUGAUGCGGAAUCCAUGCCAGUAGAAGCUCCCAGACUGGUUCUGCAAAAGACGAAAGGACGUCAAGGCUGGAAAAAAUACAACCAGGUCCUGGCCAAUGGUACAAACACCAAACUACGCGAAGGCCUGGAGAGACUGGCGAAGAUUCAGGCCCAAAGAAGGUGGCAUCCCUUCUGGGGACUUCGUGUCCGAGGCCAGCACUCAAAGACCACAGGCUGCUGUGGCCAUACUGUGGGUGGGUCCAAG
Molecule: long non-coding RNA, 2139 nt
Organism: Leopardus geoffroyi (Geoffroy's cat)
Lineage: Eukaryota; Metazoa; Chordata; Mammalia; Carnivora; Felidae
Exons: 2
Source: RefSeq, a predicted model, not a curated record